This is a long non-coding RNA of Harpegnathos saltator (Jerdon's jumping ant), 222 nucleotides long. RefSeq lists it as uncharacterized. The record is from RefSeq and is a predicted model, not a curated record. NCBI's taxonomy places the organism in Eukaryota, Metazoa, Arthropoda, Insecta, Hymenoptera, Formicidae. The transcript is spliced from 2 exons.
AUAUAAACGAGAUAAUGCCAAGUACAUGUUGCAUUGUUAAUUGCAAUAAUACGAAUAAAAAAGGAUAUCACUUAUUUAAAUUUGCAGUUUUACUAACAUAAAUAGUAGUAGACACAUCAGGUGUCACAUACGCACUACCACGCACUACCAAUACGCAUCGGGUAUUCACAUACACACUACAAACACACACCGCCGCCAUGCUUGGCGGUCUUCAUGGCCGAA